AGCUCCAAUAGCGUAUAUUAAAGUUGUUGCAGUUAAAACGCUCGUAGUUGAAUCUCGGGCCGGACGGGACGGCGGGCCAUGAGGCUUUAGCUUGUCUUGCUGGUCAAAUCUUUUCCGGAGUGGACCGCAUGCACUUCACUGGGUGUGCGGAGAUCUCUGCUCCGGACGUUUACUUUGAAAAAAUUAGAGUGUUCAAAGCAGGCGUUUCGCUGUGAAUAUCUUAGCAUGGAAUAAUGAAAUAUGACUUUUGGUUGUGUUUUGUUGGUUUUAAUGACCGAAGUAAUGAUUAAUAGGGACUGUUGGGGGCAUUUGUAUUUCGUUGUCAGAGGUGAAAUUCUUGGAUUUACGAAAGACAAACUACUGCGAAAGCAUCUGCCAAGGAUGUUUUCA
Molecule: ribosomal RNA, 390 nt
Filed under: uncultured eukaryote
Lineage: Eukaryota
Description: SSU rRNA
Rfam family: Eukaryotic small subunit ribosomal RNA
Source: RNAcentral